Molecule: ribosomal RNA, 253 nt
Filed under: uncultured bacterium
Lineage: Bacteria
Description: partial 16S ribosomal RNA
Rfam family: Bacterial small subunit ribosomal RNA
Source: RNAcentral
UACAGAGGAUGCAAGCGUUAUCCGGAAUGAUUGGGCGUAAAGCGUCUGUAGGUGGCUUUUUAAGUCCGCCGUCAAAUCCCAGGGCUCAACUCUGGACAGGCGGUGGAAACUACCAAGCUGGAGUACGGUAGGGGCAGAGGGAAUUUCCGGUGGAGCGGUGAAAUGCGUAGAGAUCCGGAGGAACACCGACGGCGUAGGCAGCGCCCUAGACGAGACCUGACGCUCAGGCACGAAAGCGCGGGGAGCGAACAGG